AGCGGCGGACGGGUGAGUAACGCGUGGGUAACCUGCCUUAUACAGGGGGAUAACAGUUAGAAAUGACUGCUAAUACCGCAUAAGCGCACAGUACUGCAUGGUACAGUGUGAAAAACUCCGGUGGUAUAAGAUGGACCCGCGUCUGAUUAGCCAGUUGGCGGGGUAACGGCCCACCAAAGCGACGAUCAGUAGCCGACCUGAGAGGGUGACCGGCCACAUUGGGACUGAGACACGGCCCAAACUCCUACGGGAGGCAGCAG
RNAcentral lists this ribosomal RNA (260 nucleotides) under uncultured bacterium. RNAcentral's name for it is "partial 16S ribosomal RNA". It matches the Rfam family "Bacterial small subunit ribosomal RNA", at positions 94 to 354 of the family's 1533-position model. The record is from RNAcentral.